AAUCACAAAGGCUAGAGGAGCAUCUGGUUAGUAGUGCCCAUCUCAUAGCAGCCAGGGACAAAGUAAGUCCUCGUUUAUCACAACCUGGCUUCUGUUCUGUGCCCUUGCUGGGUUCAUGUCCUGGAAAUAGAA
Suncus etruscus (white-toothed pygmy shrew) is the source of this 132-nucleotide small nucleolar RNA. RefSeq annotates it as small nucleolar RNA SNORA48. The transcript has a single exon. The record is from RefSeq and is a predicted model, not a curated record. NCBI's taxonomy places the organism in Eukaryota, Metazoa, Chordata, Mammalia, Eulipotyphla, Soricidae.